Prunus persica (peach) is the source of this 1508-nucleotide long non-coding RNA. RefSeq lists it as uncharacterized. The transcript is spliced from 2 exons. Lineage: Eukaryota; Viridiplantae; Streptophyta; Magnoliopsida; Rosales; Rosaceae. The record is from RefSeq and is a predicted model, not a curated record.
AUUAGAAAUUAGAAAGUCAGUUCGAGAUUGUUAAAGUAGUAUUAGAUUUUAUCAUUGAGCUUUUCUUUUCCACAACAAAAAGAAGAAGAAAAAAGACAUUGAGCUUUUCUAGUAAUCGACUUGCUCUUUUGUGCAUAGCAGGCUGUGGGGAUACAGAUAUGGAAGAACUUACAAAUAAUUUGAACGACCUGCCUCCCUUAUCCUCUGAGUGCUGUAUCUACAAGGUUCCAAAGCGACUACGUGGUGUAAAUAACAAGGCCUAUACACCUCAGGUGGUCUCAAUUGGCCCCCUUCACCAUGGUCGAGAAAGCCUAAAAGCCAUGGAAGAGCAUAAAAUGCGGUACAUGAAGGACUUUCUUGAACGAACAGGGGUAGAGCUGGAGGUUCUUUUCAAAGACAUGAUGGAACGGCAAGCACAAAUUCGUGCUUCUUACGCAGUAACCGUCAAAUUUGAUGAACAUGAGCUCGUAAAAAUAAUUAUGGUCGACGCCACCUUUACCUUUGAGGUCAUGCUCAGAGUUUCUUUGCCAUCACUACAAAGGGAAAACGACCGAAUAUUUGGAAAACCAGGGAUGCUAAGGGACAUUAUAUAUGAUAUGUUGUUGCUUGAAAAUCAGGUGCCAUUCUUUAUCCUCGAGUAUCUCUACUUCUUAGCCCAUUCCAAAAAUAUAUUUGAUCUCGAAAGUGGGCUUUCCAUCAUUAGCCUAACCCAUAAGUUAUUCCGCAAUAGGGUUUACAAAAGGCCAUUUCAUGAAAUUUGUCACAAAUUCUCUCGCCCUUCGACUAAAAUACACCAUUUUGUUGACUUUUUGCUACAAUGUCAUCGACCUUUACCUUCUGAUCUUCCAACCAAAAAAAAAUUCAAAACUUUAAACAUACCAAAUGCAACAGAAUUACACCAGGCGGGAGUCAAGUUUGAGAAGGCUAAAAAAAAAAAAUACAAAAUUAUUUGACAUACAAUUUGAGAAUGGAAUCCUUAAAAUUCCACGCCUGCGAAUACGGGGUUCAACAGAAAUUUUCUUUCGUAAUCUUAUUGCCUAUGAGCAGUGUGAGCACUGUGAUCAUUACAUCAACGACUAUGUCUUCUUCAUGGACCGCCUGGUAGAUAGUGCCAAGGAUGUGGAAUUGCUUGCGAAGAGUAGAGUUCUUGAAUCUAAGCUACCGGACAGCAAGGCAACAGCGGAUUUUAUUAAUAAUCUUGACUUGGGGCCUAUUUUGUUCAGCAGAAAAUUCUAUUUCACCGAUCUUUGUGACAAGCUGAAUGAACACUACGGAGAGCCCUGGCACGAGUGGAAGGCAAGUUUGAAACAAGACUAUUUCAAAUCCCCAUGGGCUAGCCUGUCUAUUAUUGUAGCCGCUAUACUAGUUGUGCUCACAUUUAUUCAAACAGUAUGCUCCGUAAUGGAGCUGUAGGUUCUUUAUUUCCUCAAUUUCAUGUUUACAGGUUGCAGAUCUUGUUGCUCGUGUACGUGUUUAUCUAAAGUUAAAUAAGAGUGAUUGACUGGUAG